CUGACUGCUAUCGGAUUGAUACUAAGCCAUGCGAGUCUUUGUAGUAAUACAAGGCAGACGGCUCAGUAACACGUAGUCAACCUACCCUAUGGACAAGAAUAAUCUCGGGAAACUGGGCAUAAUUCUUGAUAGAUCAUAAUGCCUGGAAUGGUUUAUGGUUAAAAUGAUUCGUCGCCAUAGGAUGGGACUGCGGCCUAUCAGCUUGUUGGUGAGGUAAUGGCCCACCAAGGCGAUUACAGGUACGGACUCUGAGAGGAGAAGCCCGGAGAUGGGUACUGAGACACGGACCCAGGCCCUAUGGGGCGCAGCAGGCGAGAAAACUUUGCAAUGUGCGAAAGCACGACAAGGUUAAUCCGAGUGAUUUCUGCUAAAGAAAUCUUUUGCCAGUCAUAAAACCACUGGUGAAUAAGGGGUGGGCAAGUUCUGGUGUCAGCCGCCGCGGUAAAACCAGCACCUCAAGUGGUCAGGAUGAUUAUUGGGCCUAAAGCAUCCGUAGCCGGCUUUGUUAGUUUUCGGUUAAAUCCAUGUGCUCAACACAUGGGCUGCCGAAAAUACUGCAUAGCUAGGGAGUGGGAGAGGUAGACGGUACUCAGUAGGAAGGGGUAAAAUCCUUUGAUCUAUUGAUGACCACCUGUGGCGAAGGCGGUCUACCAGAACACGUUCGACGGUGAGGGAUGAAAGCUGGGGGAGCAAACCGGAUUAGAUACCCGGGUAGUCCCAGCUGUAAACGAUGCAGACUCGAUGAUGCAUUGGCAUAAUAGCCAGUGCAGUGUCGCAGGGAAGCCGUUAAGUCUGCCGCCUGGGAAGUACGUACGCAAGUAUGAAACUUAAAGGAAUUGGCGGGGGAGCACCACAAGGGGUGAAGCCUGCGGUUCAAU
This 878-nucleotide ribosomal RNA is filed under the name uncultured marine group I thaumarchaeote. RNAcentral's name for it is "SSU rRNA". It matches the Rfam family "Archaeal small subunit ribosomal RNA", at positions 23 to 906 of the family's 1478-position model. Lineage: Archaea; Thermoproteati; Nitrososphaerota. The record is from RNAcentral.